ACAAUCGAAUUGGGGGGGACCUGGGGGGGCUGCAACACCAACCCUCCGGGGAAACUCGGGGGGGGCCCUCACGGGGUGGUAAAAAAGUGUAGGAUGAACAAUGGACGAUCCGCAGCGAAGACCCUACCGGCGAGAGCCCACGGGUACCGUUCACAGACUAAGUGAUUGUGGGCGGGGUGUCAGGCCCCGUCUAAGAUAUAGUCGGUCUCUGCUCGAAAGGGCAGAGCCUAGCGCGUCCGUAGGUGAACCUGCGGAAGGAUCAUUAAAGAAUCGCCCCGUUUUUUGAAAUGGGUUCUAUUCCCAAACCGUGUAUACAUACCUUUGUUGCUUUGGCAGGCCGCCUUCUAUGCGUCGGCUCCGGCUGACUGCGCCUGCCAGAAACCCAAACUCUUUUGUUUAGUGAUGUCUGAGUACUAUAUAAUAGUGGAAACUUUCAACAACGGAUGUCUUGGUUCUGGGAUCGAUGAAAAACGCACCGAAAUGCGAUAAGUAAUGUGAAUUGCGGAGUUCACUGAAUCAGGGGAGGUUUGAACGCACAUUGCGCCCCUUGGGGUUCCGAGGGGCAUGCCUGUUCUAGCGUGAUUAUAACCACUCAAGCCUCUCCUUGGUCUUGGGGUUCGCGGGUUCUCGGCUCUUAAAAUCAGUGGCGGUGCCGUCUGGCUCU
Molecule: ribosomal RNA, 664 nt
Filed under: Helotiaceae sp.
Lineage: Eukaryota; Fungi; Ascomycota; Leotiomycetes; Helotiales; Helotiaceae
Description: partial 18S ribosomal RNA
Rfam family: 5.8S ribosomal RNA (bases 429-582)
Source: RNAcentral